RNAcentral lists this long non-coding RNA (1210 nucleotides) under Durio zibethinus. Its description in RNAcentral is "long non-coding RNA (DZIB_LNC000901)". Lineage: Eukaryota; Viridiplantae; Streptophyta; Magnoliopsida; Malvales; Malvaceae. The record is from RNAcentral.
UUUAAUUUUAAUUUUAAUUUUAAAAUUUCAAAUUUCUUAUUUUAAUUUUUCAUAGUGUUAAGUGAAAGUUAUAAAGGAUUUUGCAGCUUAAAAACAUCAGACUUUGUUUUUGAACAAUUCUGGGCAUAAAAACCAUUCGCACGAUUAUCGCACGAUUUUAAUUUUUCGCUGUGUUUCAUACUUAUUUGCUUUUUAGAUACAUUUUUAGGUGCUCUAAGGAUUUUGAGGAAUUACAUAUGAGUGAUCUUCAUAUUUGGAUAUUAUUUAUGAAGUUGUUAUUGGUGCUUAAUGUGAAUAAUUAUGUGCUAAACUGUUUUAGCAGUUCACAGGGGGAGCACUCGAAGCCUAAUGCUUUUGAAAUUUUAUGUUUUCCUGUGAAAAUGAUUUUCACUGGAGUCAAGCUUUAAAAUAUGAAAGCAUUGUUUUAGCAGGUUUUUAAAUGGAAAUUAAUUUGAAUAUCUCGAAUCCAAUGUUUUAAACUCACUCAAACAAAGAAACUUGGUAAAACUUGCGUUGGUUUUAAUAAUUUUCGUAGUGUUAAGUGAAAGUUAUAAAGGAUUUUGCAGCUUAAAAACAUCAGACUUUGUUUCUGAACAAUUCUGGGCAUAAAAACCAUUCGCACGAUUAUCGCACGAUUUUAAUUUUUCGCUGUGUUUCAUACUUAUUUGCUUUUUAGAUACAUUUUUACGUGCUCUAAGGAUUUUGAGGAAUUACAUAUGAGUGAUCUUCAUAUUUGGAUAUUAUUUAUGAAGUUGUUAUCGGUGCUUAAUGUGAAUAAUUAUGUGCUAAACUGUUUUAGCAGUUCACAGGGGGAGCACUCGAAGCCUAAUGCUUUUGAAAUUUUAUGUUUUCCUGUGAAAAUGAUUUUCACUGGAGUCAAGCUUUAAAAUAUGAAAGCAUUGUUUUAGCAGGUUUUUAAAUGGAAAUUAAUUUGAAUAUCUCGAAUCCAAUGUUUUAAACUCACUCAAACAAAGAAACUUGGUAAAACUUGCGUUGGUUUUAAUAAUUUUCGUAGUGUUAAGUGAAAGUUAUAAAGGAUUUUGCAGCUUAAAAACAUCAGACUUUGUUUCUGAACAAUUCUGGGCAUAAAAAUCAUUCGCACGAUUAUCGCACGAUUUUAAUUUUUCGCUGCGUUUCAUACUUAAAACAUUUUUAGGUGCUCUAAGGAUUUUGAGGAAUUACAUAUGAGUGAUCUUCAUAUUUGGAUAUU